Molecule: ribosomal RNA, 434 nt
Filed under: uncultured bacterium
Lineage: Bacteria
Description: partial 16S ribosomal RNA
Rfam family: Bacterial small subunit ribosomal RNA
Source: RNAcentral
AGCGAACGCUGGCGGCAUGCCUAACACAUGCAAGUCGAACGAACCUUUCGGGGUUUGUGGCCGACGGGUGAGUAACACGUGGGAACGUGCCCUUAUGGUCGGCAUAACUCUGGGAAACUUGUGCUAAUACCGAAUGUGCCCUUCGGGGGAAAGAUUAAUCGCCUUUAGAGCGGCCCGCGUCUGAUUAGCUAGUUGUGUGAGGUAAUGGCUCACCAAGGCGACGAUCAGUAGCUGGUCUGAGAGAAUGAUCAGCGACAUUGGGACUGAGACACGGCACAAACUCCUACGGGAGGCAGGAGUGGGGAAUCUUGCGCAAUGGGCGAAAGGCUGACGCAGCCAUGCCGCGUGAAUGAUGAAGGUCUGAGGAUUGUAAAAUUCUUUCACCGGGGACGAUAAUGACGGUACCCGGAGAAGAAGCCCCGGCUAACUUCGUG